GAGUUUCGAUCCUAGGCUCAGGACGACGCUGGCGGCGUGCUUAACACAUGCAAGUCGAACGAUGAAGCCCAGCUUGCUGGGUGGAUUAGUGGCGAACGGGUGAGUAACACGUGAGUAACCUGCCCUUGACUCUGGGAUAAGCGUUGGAAACGACGUCUAAUACCGGAUACGAGCUUCCACCGCAUGGUGAGUUGCUGGAAAGAAUUUGGUCAAGGAUGGACUCGCGGCCUAGUCAGCUUGUUCGGUGAGGUAACGGCUCACCAAGGCGACGACGGGUAGCCGGCCUGAGAGGGUGACCGGGCCACACUGGGACUGAGACACGGCCCAGACUCCUACGGGAGGCAGCAGUGGGGAAUAUUGCACAAUGGGCGAAAGCCUGAUGCAGCAACGCCGCGUGAGGACGACGGCCUUCGGGUUGUAAACCUCUUUUAGCAGGGAAGAAGCGAAAGUGACGGUACCUGCAGAAAAAGCACCGGCUAACUACGUG
Molecule: ribosomal RNA, 487 nt
Filed under: uncultured Plantibacter sp.
Lineage: Bacteria; Bacillati; Actinomycetota; Actinomycetes; Micrococcales; Microbacteriaceae
Description: bacterial SSU rRNA
Rfam family: Bacterial small subunit ribosomal RNA
Source: RNAcentral